CGAAUAGCCCAGGGAAAUGUACCAGGGGUUACAGCUAAAUCUUAUCAAGAAGACAACAAGUUAUGGAAAAAGCAUGUUAAUUCUUACAAAAGAAUUAAUCAAUUAAUUGGCACUACUAGAUAUCGGAAUUUGAUGGACAUGAAUGCAGGCCUUGGAGGAUUUGCAGCUGCACUUGAUUCACCAAAGUCUUGGGUGAUGAAUGUUGUUCCCACAAUUGCUGAGAACACUUUGGGUGUUGUCUACGAGAGAGGUUUGAUUGGCAUUUAUCAUGACUG
This 275-nucleotide long non-coding RNA is filed under the name Phaseolus vulgaris (common bean). RNAcentral describes it as "long non-coding RNA (PVUL_LNC004193)". Lineage: Eukaryota; Viridiplantae; Streptophyta; Magnoliopsida; Fabales; Fabaceae. The record is from RNAcentral.